ACAUAUGACAGUAAAAUUAAGUUAAAACGAAAACACUACAAGGCAAACAAUGGCGCUGUAAAAAUGUCUGUUUACAUGCGAGCACGACUAGAUGUUAUUACAUUGAUUUUUGGAUAUGUUUGCGAGUUUCUAUCAGCAGCUGGCAUGGCCGCUACCGGCAGUAUGUGCCAGCCUAUGCACAGGCAUUCUCCUUCUUGGUACGUUACAGCUGUCGACUAUUGCGUCGUCAUUACUCUCGCACUCAGCUUCUUCUUGCUGUUCGCCAUUGGUUUAACAGUCAUUGCGAGUGUUUGCGCGGGCAAACCAAUGCUGCUGAUCCACACACAGCGAAUGUUGACGAUUUUGUUAUCUAUCAGCGUUUUGGAAAGUUGCACCUUUUAUUACCUGAAUAUUUUUAACAUUUCAGAAAUUUGCGUAUUUUUCUUCAUCGUACCGAUACCAAUGAUAUGUAUGUACUAAAGAACAAAAUUAAAACUCUUCUUUAAACUUUUUUUCCAGUAUUCACAUUGGGAACUAAGAUACUCCUUUACAAAUAUUUUAAACUUCAGAUUACAAAGCCGCAAAGCGGUAACGUUUCCGAAUCAUAAAAAUGCCUGAGUAAACUCCAAAGUGAAUUUCUUCUUUUACAAAUGUGUACGAGUGACUGCUGUGCUAUAACGCAUUUCUGCUGUUGCAACUUAAGAGUGGCGUCUUUGACAUCCGGAGUCAUUUGCAUAAUUCUUGCCAUCUUGGGCUUGCCCGCCUUAAGUGUUACCUACAAUUCAAAAAACAAACGCGAAUUUCCAAACAUUUUGACGUUGGCCACAUUUUUCUUCGUCAUGUUUGCUACAGGCUUUUCAACGGUUUUAGGCAUUUGUACUGAUAAAAUGACGUUGGUAGAUCAUGCACAAACUAUGUUUACCGUUUUGUCUGGGUAUUCCGUUGCCUCAACGUUUACCUCGAUCAUUGCGUACAGCAGUCUGCAGUUGCACGUAGUCUGCCCGCAGUUUCUUGUUAUGAUGAUAGUAUUUCUUUUUUUUAGCGUGACAAGUAAAAUUAUCAUAUUCAGCUAUAAAAUUUCCCGUUUGGAAAUCGAUGACAGAGAUUACUAUCCGGACCCAUGAUCUGCAUACUCUGGCAAAAUCUGCCGUCAAUUCUUUUUUCAUGCGAUUUGUAUUACGAGAGCGCAAAAAGAGGAAGAGGAUCUACCCAACUGAUGUCCUAAAUUUGUUUACAAAAUUAAAACAAAUAGAUGAUAGUUUAUUUUAUGAAUUCUUGGCAAUGGAUAACUGCACCAUAUUUACUGGAGCAAGCAGUGAAAUGAUAUGUCGCAAAUAAUAUUUGUGCCAAAUCGAUGAUAAUUUCGUCAUACUCUAAAAUGCCGUUACUUUCGUGAAAGAAUAAAUGCUCAGUGGUGUUACCUUGUGAGAAUGGUUAUUAAAAUUAUAUCGGACACCAACUCUGUGCAAAACUUUGAUGUUUCUCUGAGUACUUUGGAGUGUACAACUUGAGGUGGGUAGGAGCUGUAUGAAUUUUGAAAUUUUGGACAAUAUAAUUAUAUUAAUAGGUUCCUUUGCACCUUAAAAAUAGUAUUAAAUCAACCAAGCAUUAUUGAAAACAACUCUUUUAAUUUUGAAUGACCCUUCUACAUUCUAACCUCUAAAACGUGUCUAAAUUUCCGAGGUCAACAGUAUCACACUUUCGAGAUAGUCCCACAGCAUGAACUUUGAAUUUCCGUUAUCAUUUGUACUCAAUUUUAAUCCACAUGACUGAGUGGGCCACUAUAGUACUUUUCCUCAAUAUUUACUGGCUUGUGAGAACUUAGCUGAAGAUAAAAACGGAACACUCAGAGUACCCAGCUCAGGUGAUCCCAUAACCAAUGUGGUAUUAAUAGUUAAAAAGUUAUCUGCAAAGUAUUGAUUAAGUAAAUUUAACUUUUCGUGAGUUUCAUUUCAAGAAGAAUGAAUGGUCGUCAGCGUACAUCAAUAAAUGUAAAUAUUUACACCUGUACAUUGGUAAUCCAGUAGAGUUAGUAAAAAGUUGAGCGAUGUCGGACGAGAAUAGAGUAAAUAAUAAGGGACUAAAACUUUGCCCUAUAACACUCCUUCAGAUGCCGGAAUUCUUUGGCUGGAAUGGGCCUCGCCGCCUACGAACAUAACAUCAUUAUCCUACAAAUCUCUAUUAAUGUAUUUAUUUUCGAUUAAUUCCAACAUUUUAAAGUUUGUACCAUAGUGCAGUCGAUACUAUCAAAUGUCUCUUCAGAUCAAUAAAAACUGCAUAAGGUUUUCUAUAUGUAGUCUCAAAUAACUAUUUACUAUCUCUGAUAUAAAAAUGUUAUCACGACAUCCUCUGCCCUUCCUGAAGCCCAUUUGCACAUCGGGUAACACACAGUGUUCUUCAGCCCACAUAUUCGGUCGUUCAUAGAUGAUAUUGGUAAAAACAUUUGUAAGACUGUGGAAAAUAGCGAUGCCACGAUAAUUAUAUGGAUCUCGAUGGUCUCUUUUUUGUGAAUGAGUUUCAAUUUAUUGUGUGAUCAAGAUUUUGGUGUGGUUUCGGCAGUUAAAAUUUUAUUAAAUAUGUAAUAACUGAAGAACGGUAAAACAAUUGUUUCCAUUGACUUAAGUCUUAAAGCAUUCAUUGGGUAUUAAAAUGUUUAUUAAAUAAAAAUAACGGCGAGGGUAUACUAAACUUACAAGACCGCAGCGUUCUCACUAAUGGUAUAACCUGCUAAGUGUAACCGAGAAAAAGAAACUAGAAAAUACAUAUUUAUAUUUAA
This is a long non-coding RNA of Cimex lectularius (bed bug), 2755 nucleotides long. RefSeq lists it as uncharacterized. The transcript is spliced from 13 exons. The record is from RefSeq and is a predicted model, not a curated record. Lineage: Eukaryota; Metazoa; Arthropoda; Insecta; Hemiptera; Cimicidae.